Long non-coding RNA from Cheilinus undulatus (humphead wrasse), 503 nucleotides. RefSeq lists it as uncharacterized. The record is from RefSeq and is a predicted model, not a curated record. Lineage: Eukaryota; Metazoa; Chordata; Actinopteri; Labriformes; Labridae. The transcript is spliced from 4 exons.
GUUUUCGCCAUUAAAACACAACGAGGACUACAGCGUUUCGGUAAUACAAGGCCGUGGUGGGCCGGGAUCCCCAGUCAGUCUGGAAACCCUCAGCUGUCUGUAGCAGACUGCCAGCAGACCGGUGCCGAGAUGGCUGAAGAUCUCCUCCGUCCUCUCACUGGCCACGAGAGAAGGCAGCACAAAAAGAAGAGCCUCGUUCAGACCCAACUCUUACUUCAUAGAUGUUAAAUGUCCACAUUGGGCUGCUACAAAAUCACUACUGUUCAGCCAUGAUCAGGCAUUGGUUCUGUGCGAGAUGCUCAUCUGUGCUGUCAGCCCAGAGGAGCAAAGGCAAGACUAACAGAAGGUUGCUCUUUCAAGAGAAAGGUACAUUGAGGAGUAUUAUUUUGCUUAUCAAGUCUUGUCUACCUCAAUUUUCCAAUGAUGCAAUGUACAGACAGCAUAAACAGUCUCUGUUGCUGUUCAAAUGCUGAACUUUUCCGAUAAAAUUUAUAAACUAGCAA